RNAcentral lists this ribosomal RNA (497 nucleotides) under uncultured bacterium. RNAcentral's name for it is "partial 16S ribosomal RNA". It matches the Rfam family "Bacterial small subunit ribosomal RNA", at positions 28 to 507 of the family's 1533-position model. The record is from RNAcentral.
GAUGAACGCUGGCGGCGUGCCUAAUACAUGCAAGUCGAGCGAACAGACGAGGAGCUUGCUCCUCUGACGUUAGCGGCGGACGGGUGAGUAACACGUGGAUAACCUACCUAUAAGACUGGGAUAACUUCGGGAAACCGGAGCUAAUACCGGAUAAUAUAUUGAACCGCAUGGUUCAAUAGUGAAAGACGGUUUUGCUGUCACUUAUAGAUGGAUCCGCGCCGCAUUAGCUAGUUGGUAAGGUAACGGCUUACCAAGGCAACGAUGCGUAGCCGACCUGAGAGGGUGAUCGGCCACACUGGAACUGAGACACGGUCCAGACUCCUACGGGAGGCAGCAGUAGGGAAUCUUCCGCAAUGGGCGAGAGCUUGACGGAGCAACGCCGAGUGAGUGAUGAAGAUCUUCGGAUCGUAAAACUCUGUUAUUAGGGAAGAACAAAUGUGUAAGUAACUAUGCACGUCUUGACGGUACCUAAUCAGAAAGCCACGGCUAACUACGUG